GCCUGGAUAGCUCAGUUGGUUAGAGCGUGGUGCUGAUAAUGCCAAGGUUGAAAGUUCGAUGUGGACAGCUGCACAUUCCUGCAUUGCAGGGGGUUGGACU
Non-coding RNA from Podarcis lilfordi (Lilford's wall lizard), 100 nucleotides. The record is from the annotation of a GenBank genome assembly. NCBI's taxonomy places the organism in Eukaryota, Metazoa, Chordata, Lepidosauria, Squamata, Lacertidae.